CGAACGCUGGCGGCAGGCUUACACAUGCAAGUCGAACGGGCCCUUCGGGGUCAGUGGCAGACGGGUGAGUAACGCGUGGGAACGUGCCCUUCAGUUCGGAAUAACCCAGGGAAACUUGGGCUAAUACCGGAUACGUGCGAGAGCAGAAAGAUUUAUCGCUGAAGGAUCGGCCCGCGUCUGAUUAGCUAGUUGGUAGGGUAAUGGCCUACCAAGGCGACGAUCAGUAGCUGGUCUGAGAGGAUGAUCAGCCACAUUGGGACUGAGACACGGCCCAAACUCCUACGGGAGGCAGCAGUGGGGAAUAUUGGACAAUGGGCGCAAGCCUGAUCCAGCCAUGCCGCGUGAGUGAUGAAGGCCUUAGGGUUGUAAAGCUCUUUCGUCCGGGACGAUAAUGACGGUACCGGAAGAAGAAGCCCCGGCUAACUUCGUGCCAGCAGCCGCGGUAAUACGAAGAGGGCUAGCGUUGUUCGGAAUCACUGGGCGUAAAGGGCGCGUAGGCGGCUUUGUAAGUCGGGGGUGAAAGCCUGUGGCUCAACCACAGAAUUGCCUUCGAUACUGCAUGGCUUGAGACCGGAAGAGGUAAGUGGAACUGCGAGUGUAGAGGUGAAAUUCGUAGAUAUUCGCAAGAACACCAGUGGCGAAGGCGGCUUACUGGUCCGGUUCUGACGCUGAGGC
Molecule: ribosomal RNA, 675 nt
Filed under: uncultured Alphaproteobacteria bacterium
Lineage: Bacteria; Pseudomonadati; Pseudomonadota; Alphaproteobacteria
Description: bacterial SSU rRNA
Rfam family: Bacterial small subunit ribosomal RNA
Source: RNAcentral